CCAACAGGCAGCUCCUGUGGAAAAACAAAGCACAGGGCACUCUCUGGGGUACCCACAGGGCAGCAAAGGGAUUUCAGCAGCCCCGUUAGGAUGUGUGGAUCGCGCGCUCUGCCAGCCCCGUGAGCUGCCGGAGUUUAUCCAGUGGCGAAGCAGCUUGGAAAGCUCUCGGGACAUGUUGUUCAGGCCCUGGGGCAGGGGGAGAAUGCUGUUAAUGUGUCCCUUCCAUGUGUUUUUUUUUUUCUCCCUGACAGCUUUGUGAAGGCGUCUUUGAACUCUGACGUGGAGCCAGAUUUAUUUUCUCAGUGUGAUCCGGACGCGCUUCAGAACCCGCUUCAGUGACAGACAGAAUGGGACACCAGGAACCCGUGCUGGUUGGAUUUUUCUUGUGCUAGAGGUUUUAUCGUCUCCUGUGGCCUAAAAACCAGCCUUUUAUUAGUAAAAUAAAGGGAAUGCUUCCCCAGCGGGUCUGGGCUGAUGCAAAUCCUGCACGGAGAAGUCUGGCUGCAGCUGGAGCGCCUGGGCAGUGCUGGGGCUCAGGGCCUUUCAUCUGUUUUCCCUCUUGCUAUUUAUAGCAUGUGGAGAAGCAACUGGGAUCUGUGUCCCUGCUCCUGUGCCUCGUCCUGGAUGUGAACGUGGUUUCAUGGCUGCAGCGGGGCCAGGGUUUGGAAGGAACAGAGUGAGUCCACAGAGGGCGUGAGGAAGGGCAGCAUGGCUUUGGUUACAUCCCUGGGGAGCAUUCUGUGAUGGCUCCAUCUGGCAUUAACUCUCCUGGCAGCCGAGCCGCACGCGGGAAUGUCUGGGCAGUCAUUGGGCCGUGAUUCAUGGGAGCCCCUGGCCUCUUUCCCAGAGCAGACUCCAUGUCUUUAAAAAAACAGCAAGUGUGGAAUGGCCCGACCACAAAUAUUUCAGCAGAAAACAAUAUCCCCUGCACCUCUCCCACCUGGCUCUGCCACAGGUGGCUUACUCAGUGAUGGCAGAUGAUAAAGUCCUGUUUCCACUG
Molecule: long non-coding RNA, 1000 nt
Organism: Myiozetetes cayanensis
Lineage: Eukaryota; Metazoa; Chordata; Aves; Passeriformes; Tyrannidae
Exons: 3
Source: RefSeq, a predicted model, not a curated record